AGAGUUUGAUCCUGGCUCAGAACGAACGCUGGCGGCGUGGAUAAGACAUGCAAGUCGAACGAGAGAAUUGCUAGCUUGCUAAUAAUUCUCUAGUGGCGCACGGGUGAGUAACACGUGAGUAACCUGCCCCCGAGAGCGGGAUAGCCCUGGGAAACAGGGAUUAAUACCGCAUAGUAUCGAAAGAUUAAAGCAGCAAUGCGCUUGGGGAUGGGCUCGCGGCCUAUUAGUUAGUUGGUGAGGUAACGGCUCACCAAGGCGAUGACGGGUAGCCGGUCUGAGAGGAUGUCCGGCCACACUGGAACUGAGACACGGUCCAGACACCUACGGGUGGCAGCAGUCGAGAAUCAUUCACAAUGGGGGAAACCCUGAUGGUGUGACGCCGCGUGGGGGAAUGAAGGUCUUCGGAUUGUAAACCCCUGUCAUGUGGGAGCAAAUUAAAAAGAUAGUACCACAAGAGGAAGAGACGGCUAACUCUGUGCCAGCAGCCGCGGUAAUACAGAGGUCUCAAGCGUUGUUCGGAAUCACUGGGCGUAAAGCGUGCGUAGGCUGUUUCGUAGGUCGUGUGUGAAAGGCGCGGGCUCAACCCGCGGACGGCACAUGAUACUGCGAGACUAGAGUAAUGGAGGGGGAACCGGAAUUCUCGGUGUAGCAGUGAAAUGCGUUGAUAUCGAGAGGAACACUCGUGGCGAAGGCGGGUUCCUGGACAUUAACUGACGCUGAGGCACGAAGGCCAGGGGAGCGAAAGGGAUUAGAUACCCCUGUAGUCCUGGCAGUAAACGGUGCACGCUUGGUGUGCGGGGAAACCAACCCCCUGGCGUGGCGGGACCUACGCCGUUAAGCGUGCCGCCUGGGGAGGAGGGUCGCAAGAUGAAAACUCAAAAAAAUUGACGGGGGACCCCGCACAGGCGGUGGGGUAUGUGGCUUAAUUAGAUGGCAACGCGAAGAAACCUUACCCUGGGGCUUGACAUGUAAUGAACAACAUGCGAAAGCAUGCGACUCUUCGGAGGAGUUACACAGGUGCUGCAUGGCAGUCGUCAGCUCGUGUCGUGAGAUGUUUGGUUAAGUCCAGCAACGAGCGCAACCCCUGUUGCCAGUUUCCAGCACGUGAAGGUGGGGACUCUGGCGAGACUGCCCAGAUCAACUGGGAGGAAGGUGGGGACGACGUCAGGUCAGUAUGGCCCUUAUGCCCAGGGCUGCACACGUACUACAAUGCCCAGUACAGAGGGGGCCGAAGCCGCGAGGCGGAGGAAAUCCUGAAAACUGGGCCCAGUUCGGACUGUAGGCUGCAACCCGCCUACACGGAGCCGGAAUC
RNAcentral lists this ribosomal RNA (1312 nucleotides) under uncultured bacterium. RNAcentral's name for it is "bacterial SSU rRNA". It matches the Rfam family "Bacterial small subunit ribosomal RNA", at positions 8 to 1333 of the family's 1533-position model. The record is from RNAcentral.